Molecule: long non-coding RNA, 1270 nt
Filed under: Triticum aestivum (bread wheat)
Lineage: Eukaryota; Viridiplantae; Streptophyta; Magnoliopsida; Poales; Poaceae
Description: long non-coding RNA (TAES_LNC026924)
Source: RNAcentral
CUGCCUUCGAGGAAAUCUAAUUAUCUAGGUAGUAUGGAAAAGCACGCAAAUUAUAUAACUAUUUGGGUAUACUCAUGCUCUGCUAUGUCAGAUUGAGGAGAAAUAAUUAUUUUGUUCACCCAUCUUAUUUUUUCCGAGGUAAUGACUCAUGCUCUACUAUGUCAGACUGAGUGACUUCUGCAUAUGAUGACUGAAGAAUUUUUCAUCAAUUUUCCAACCUGAAUUAGCUACAGAAUUUGGGAAAAGAGGAGUCCAGGCUCUGAUGAACACACCGUCUUUCCUAGGUAACUAAUAGUUGGCAUCUCUACAUUUACAUUAUAUCAGGCCAGCACCACAAAGUCCCUGUAUGUGUCUGCCUGCCUACAUUGAUGGGCGAUCCGGUCGCAAAAAAGUGGAUAAAAAAUAUACAUCAGUUUGUGAAAAUACAUGUUGGUUAUCUCACGAACGAUUAUAGCUAUUACCAGAGUACAAGCAAAUAUGUUACAAUUUUUCCUUGAAGGAGACUUGUAUUAUGAUUAUUACAUUUUGAUCUUGGAGCUAUGGUCGACUUUAGUAGAUGGUUACUUCAGUCUGCACAAGUCAAAUAUUUUCUAAUUACAUGUCUGAGCACCAUCGGGAUAACCUGAUUACUAUGUCACAAGCUUGCUAUUUCUAUUUAUGCAAAUUCUGUAGUUAUUUCAGUGUUUUGCAUGAUGCAUAAGUUUUUUCACAACAGAAAGAAGUGGAUGUACAACUUGAUUCUGCUUUAUUAUUUAAGUACCAGUUGACUUUGUAAAUCCCAGUUUCUCCAGUAUUGUAACUGUCAAAUCGUCAAUUUAACCUGAUUUUUAUCUUUGGACAGCUUGCAAUUUGCAAUAUUAUGAUUUUCCUUUUGCAGAAACCACUUCAACUAGCCCAGGACUGUGUCUAUUAGUCCUCCAGUAUUUGUUGAGAUGAGAUAACACAUUGUAUGACAGGUAACAAGCAACUGAAGCAAGAAGAUUUUUUAAAUUUCUUGGAAAGUAUAACCAUCUUAACCCAGGAUGCAUGAUGAAGGAUCCAAUAUGUCAGGACCAACGAGGGAAUUGCAAUAUGUCAGAACCAAUGAGAGAAUUGUAGAGCUUUACAUUAAGUUUAUUUUAGCUGCUUGCCCGCUUCAAGUGUCUAGAUUACAGGAAACAUGUUUCUUUAAGUGACAAACCUGGAUACCAAUUUAUUCAAACUAUUAUAUUUCUUAUAGAAGUAAUGCAAUAUAUUUUCUCUCUUGUGCCUAUUUGAAAUACUGUUGUGG